UACGUAGGGGGCAAGCGUUGUCCGGAAUCAUUGGGCGUAAAGCGCGUGUAGGCGGUCCGGUAAGUCCGCUGUGAAAGUCGGGGGCUCAACCCUCGAAAGCCGGUGGAUACUGUCGGACUAGAGUGCGGAAGAGGCGAGUGGAAUUCCUGGUGUAGCGGUGAAAUGCGCAGAUAUCAGGAGGAACACCAAUUGCGAAGGCAGCUCGCUGGGACGUUACUGACGCUGAGACGCGAAAGCGUGGGGAGCAAACAGG
RNAcentral lists this ribosomal RNA (253 nucleotides) under uncultured bacterium. RNAcentral describes it as "partial 16S ribosomal RNA". It matches the Rfam family "Bacterial small subunit ribosomal RNA", at positions 524 to 776 of the family's 1533-position model. The record is from RNAcentral.